Molecule: long non-coding RNA, 598 nt
Organism: Mus musculus (house mouse)
Lineage: Eukaryota; Metazoa; Chordata; Mammalia; Rodentia; Muridae
Product: predicted gene, 36640
Exons: 4
Source: RefSeq, a predicted model, not a curated record
AUGUUCUCAUGCUCUCCAGGGGCAGAAGCACUUUCAUCAGAUAUAUGCAAUCUUUUAAAGUCUGUAUGAACGCACUCAGCUCUUUUUGCACCUCUCUCCCUUCUGUCCAGUCAGUCAGAGAAUCUUCACUCUGUGGCACUGUUUACCGCUCCAUCUGCCUCCAAGGUCAUAUGGCUUUCCUGAAAGGAAUUAUUCACCCAUGGACACACCCAGGCUAGGUGAGAUCAGAUGUAAAGUCUCAGCUACUGCUACAGUGCCAUGACUGCUUGCCUACCUGCCUGCUGCUAUGCUUCCCGCCAUGAUGGUCAUGGACUCAGCCUCUAAAACGGGAUUAAAGCAUCCAUUUGUACAAACGACGUCCCUCCAAAGGUGAUCAGAAGAACAACUGUGACCCAUCCACACAUGGAGCACUAAUCCCCAGAGGGAAGGAAUUGAGGAGCAUGAACCCCAAGUCACAACCCAACACCGGGGCUAAAUCACAGGGAACCCCGCCAAGGGACGCAAGCCACACAAAGAGAAAAAGCAGAUCCAAGGGGGAAGCCGUGACUCUAAAGUUUACCAGGAGCAAGACCCAGAGUUCUUUGGUUUCUUGGACUUG